RNAcentral lists this ribosomal RNA (253 nucleotides) under uncultured bacterium. RNAcentral describes it as "partial 16S ribosomal RNA". It matches the Rfam family "Bacterial small subunit ribosomal RNA", at positions 524 to 776 of the family's 1533-position model. The record is from RNAcentral.
UACGGGGGGGGCAAGCGUUGUUCGGAAUUACUGGGCGUAAAGGGCUCGUAGGUGGCCAACUAAGUCAGACGUGAAAUCUCUCAGCUUAACUGGGGAACUGCGUCUGAUACUGGAUGGCUUGAGUUUGGGAGAGGGAUGCGGAAUUCCAGGUGUAGCGGUGAAAUGCGUAGAUAUCAGGAGGAACACCGGUGGCGAAGGCGGGUCUCUGGGCCGAUACUGACGCUGAGGAGCGAAAGCGUGGGGAGCGAACAGG